This is a non-coding RNA of Camelina sativa (false flax), 1121 nucleotides long. NCBI's taxonomy places the organism in Eukaryota, Viridiplantae, Streptophyta, Magnoliopsida, Brassicales, Brassicaceae. The record is from RefSeq and is a predicted model, not a curated record.
UAAUUUUUGCUGACCUCCGACUGUUCGAACCGUUACUCAUCACCUCCACCGACGGCGGAUCUCAACGGCGACUCUGGUUCAGAGAUGAGAGAUCUUGAUUAUGUGUGAAGAGGACUCUCAACAGUUCGUAGAGGAGAUUCAUGAAAUAAAAGUGGUUGGUGUCAAGGAAUCAAUUUCAUCAGAGGGAGAACCAUACUGCACAAAACAAUUGAUUCCCCAAUCUAAGGUACAAGUCUCUUUUCUGGAACCUAGUCAUAGACUUUACAGUGAUAUAGGUGUUUCACAAUGCUAUUUCAGUUUUUAAAGCUGAUUCCCCAAUCUACUUGAAGCACAAAUGGCGAUCCAAGAGACUGCAAACUCAGUUGAAUAGCUUGUUGUCUCAUCAACUACCUUGUUAAAUCAAAUCUCUAUCACUUUGUACUGCAAAAAAUAUUUCCUUUUCUCUUUGUUUCUUUUGUAUGGACUGGAGUCAGUAUAUAUGACACUAAAGAUUCAAUGGCAACUGGACUAAGAGAGACGCUGGUGGAUGAGAAGAUCUAUGUAGCAGUGAGAGAGAGAGAACUAAAGAGCAAGACUACUCUCGUUUGGUCGAUACAGAACAGUGGAGGCAAAGAAUUUUGUAUUGUCCACGUUCAUCAACCGAUCUCAGUCCCGGGAGCGAUGUCCCAUUUCAAGCAGGGAAGCUAGAAGAAGAGAUAACUUGUAUCUAGAAGGUGAUGUCCGAUGUUUGAAAUGGUGUUAAUGUUGCAAAGGUUUUGUGUGUGUGUUUUCAGAUUUGUGAACCAUCAAAGCUAGAGAGUAGAGAGUUUCUGAAAAAACUGCAGGGACUUCUCCACAGAGAUGGAAUGAAAUGUCAAAGUGGUGAUAAGUGCCUGUGCAAACCUUGGAAGAAGGAGGACAUUCCAACUUGUCUAUCAUCAAGUCUUGUGAAGGUCCUAACGAUAUUGAAGUUUGGAGAUAUCUAUGAAGAUGAGGACAUGAACAGAAUGAUGGAGCAAGUACUUCCUUGAGACAACAUACACACCCUAUCGUUACAAUUGCAGCUUAUGAUACGAAACAAAUUUCCUAGUUUUAACUUCAAUAUUCAUGUAUCAAAUGUACAAUAAAAAUUGAUUAUUAUA